Molecule: ribosomal RNA, 253 nt
Filed under: uncultured bacterium
Lineage: Bacteria
Description: partial 16S ribosomal RNA
Rfam family: Bacterial small subunit ribosomal RNA
Source: RNAcentral
UACAGAGGGUGCGAGCGUUGUCCGGAAUCACUGGGCGUAAAGGGCGCGUAGGCGGCUUGAUAAGCGUGCGGUGAAAGCCCGGGGCUCAACCCCGGGUCGGCCGUGCGAACUGUCGAGCUGGAGCACUGUAGAGGCAGGUGGAAUUCCGGGUGUAGCGGUGGAAUGCGUAGAGAUCCGGAAGAACACCGGUGGCGAAGGCAGGUCUCUGGGCCACUACUGACGCUGAGAAGCGAAAGCAUGGGGAGCGAACAGG